RNAcentral lists this ribosomal RNA (462 nucleotides) under uncultured Glomus. Its description in RNAcentral is "SSU rRNA". It matches the Rfam family "Eukaryotic small subunit ribosomal RNA", at positions 623 to 1088 of the family's 1831-position model. The record is from RNAcentral. Lineage: Eukaryota; Fungi; Glomeromycota; Glomeromycetes; Glomerales; Glomeraceae.
AAAGCUCGUAGUUGAAUUUCGAGAUCAGUACGCUGGUCGUGCCUUUGGUAUGCACUGGUGUCACUGGUUUCUCCCUUCUGAAGAACCGUCAUGUCAUUAAGUUGGUGUGGCGGGGAAUCAGGACUGUUACUUUGAAAAAAUUAGAGUGUUUAAAGCAGGCUCGCGCUUGAAUACAUUAGCAUGGAAUAAUGAAAUAGGACGUUUGACCCUAUUUUGUUGGUUUCUAGGAUCGACGUAAUGAUUAAUAGGGAUAGUUGGGGGCAUUAGUAUUCAAUUGUCAGAGGUGAAAUUCUUGGAUUUAUUGAAGACUAACUACUGCGAAAGCAUUUGCCAAGGAUGUUUUCAUUAAUCAAGAACGAAAGUUAGGGGAUCGAAGACGAUCAGAUACCGUCGUAGUCUUAACCAUACUAUGCCGACUAGGGAUCGGAUGAUGUUAAUUUUUUAAUGACUCAUUCGGCACCU